CUAAAGAACGUCAACUGGCAAAACGGCGAUCUAAAACCCUACGCAGUCUUCUGGGUUGAUCCAGACCGACGUUUAUCAACCCGGUCGGACGAUUCUGGCUCAACUCGACCUGUCUGGAAUGAGCGCUUCACCCUUCCCCUUGUUGUUCCUCCACACGAAACCGUUUUGACCCUCGAGAUCUUUCAUUCCAAACCCUCUGAAACUCCGAAGCCUUUGGUGGCUACUCUCCGGGUUGAGCUCAAGGAAUUACCCGACCUGGAUGAUGGUUCCAAGAUCCGAACCUUUUCUUUGCUCCGACCCUCGGGUCGUCCCCAAGGUAAGAUCCGGUUGAAACUUGGGAUCCGGGAACGUCCUCUUCCACCACCUCAUGAUUACCAUUUUGCCCCUCCUAGCUAUUAUUACACAAAUGCCCCUCCUCCACCAAGAUACUCUGCUCCGCCUU
This 442-nucleotide long non-coding RNA is filed under the name Gossypium raimondii (Peruvian cotton). RNAcentral describes it as "long non-coding RNA (GRAI_LNC009694)". Lineage: Eukaryota; Viridiplantae; Streptophyta; Magnoliopsida; Malvales; Malvaceae. The record is from RNAcentral.